UGCUUUUUGCGCAGGCGGAGCUCUACCGGAAACUGAAGUCGUAAACACCUACAUCGCCACGCAUCGAGCGUCUACGGGGUCGAGCCGGUCUGCAAGGCGUUGCAAGUUGUCCCG
Molecule: regulatory RNA element, 114 nt
Organism: Bordetella genomosp. 9
Lineage: Bacteria; Pseudomonadati; Pseudomonadota; Betaproteobacteria; Burkholderiales; Alcaligenaceae
Rfam family: ALIL pseudoknot
Source: Rfam